GAUGAACGCUGGCGGCGUGCUUAACACAUGCAAGUCGAACGAAGCACUUUAUUUGAUUUCCUUCGGGACUGAUUAUUUUGUGACUGAGUGGCGGACGGGUGAGUAACGCGUGGGUAACCUGCCUUGUACAGGGGGAUAACAGUUGGAAACGGCUGCUAAUACCGCAUAAGCGCACGUCAUCGCAUGAUGCAGUGUGAAAAACUCCGGUGGUAUAAGAUGGACCCGCGUUGGAUUAGCUAGUUGGUGAGGUAACGGCCCACCAAGGCGACGAUCCAUAGCCGAGAUGAGAGGGUGACCGGCCACAUCGGCACUGAGCCACAGCCCAAACUCCUACGGGAGGCAGCAGUGGGGAAUAUUGCACAAUGGGCGAAAGGCUGAUGCAGCGACGACGCGUGAGCGAAGAAGUAUUUCGGUAUGUAAAGCUCUAUCAGCAGGGAAGAUAAUGACGGUACCUGACUAAGAAGCACCGGCUAAAUACGUG
Molecule: ribosomal RNA, 481 nt
Filed under: uncultured bacterium
Lineage: Bacteria
Description: partial 16S ribosomal RNA
Rfam family: Bacterial small subunit ribosomal RNA
Source: RNAcentral